GAUGAACGCUGGCGGCGUGCCUAAUACAUGCAAGUCGAGCGAACGGACGAGAAGCUUGCUUCUCUGAUGUUAGCGGCGGACGGGUGAGUAACACGUGGAUAACCUACCUAUAAGACUGGGAUAACUUCGUGAAACCGUAGCUAAUACCGGAUAAUAUUUUGAACCGCAUGGUUCAAAAGUGAAAGACGGUCUUGCUGUCACUUAUAGCUGGAUCCGCGCUGCAUUAGCUAGUUGGUAAGGUAACGGCUUACCAAGGCAACGAUGCAUAGCCGACCUGAGAGGGUGAAAGGACAAACUGGAACUGAGACACGGUCCAGACUCCUACGGGAGGCAGCAGUAGGGAAUCUUCCGAAAAGGGCGAAAGCCUGACGGGGCAACGCCGCGUGAGUGAUGAAGGUCUUCGGAUCGUAAAACUCUGUUAUUAGGGAAGAACAUAUGUGUAAGUAACUGUGAACAUCUUGACGGUACAUAAUCAGAAAGCCACGGCUAACUACGUG
This 497-nucleotide ribosomal RNA is filed under the name uncultured bacterium. Its description in RNAcentral is "partial 16S ribosomal RNA". It matches the Rfam family "Bacterial small subunit ribosomal RNA", at positions 28 to 507 of the family's 1533-position model. The record is from RNAcentral.